Long non-coding RNA from Helianthus annuus (common sunflower), 2074 nucleotides. RefSeq lists it as uncharacterized. The transcript has 5 exons. The record is from RefSeq and is a predicted model, not a curated record. NCBI's taxonomy places the organism in Eukaryota, Viridiplantae, Streptophyta, Magnoliopsida, Asterales, Asteraceae.
AAACCCUAGACCCACAUCUUAUCUUCUCCUUCACGAUUCUUCCUUUGCUUGAAGCCUCUGCAAAUCAAUCGAUUCACCAAAGACACCAUUGAUAAGCUACUCAUCCUUCGUUUCUAUUCUGUUUGUUUACAACUCGAUGAUACCGUAUGCACUAAUAUCCUAUUUCUAGUUUUGGUUUUGACUCACAGAAUGUGGAGGAUUUAUCACACAAUUGACCCCUUUUACAAUAAAUUAGACUACUUGAAGCAUGGAUCUUGCUGGGAAAAAAGGCUAAUCUAGAUUAAAGCAAGGCUGAUAUGGAUGAAAGCUAACAGGUUGCACCUGCUGUUUUGAGGGAAGCACUUGCAAAUGAAUAUGGCAUUAAAUUCUUUGAAAUCAUACCUAAGUUGCCAAAUAUAUCAAUUUUCUUCAAGGAUCCAAUUACUUGUCUAAGAUGAAUAAAAAUGAGCACUAAUUAGUUUGUCAUACUGUUUUCUGUAGAGUGCAAAAACUAAUCUAAAUGUGGAGCAACUUUUCUUUUCAAUUGCAAAUGGAUAUCAAGCAGAGGUUUUUCCGACACCACAUCAUAGCUGAGGUAAAUAUAAGUCUAAUAUAUUAAUCCAUGUUUUUUUAUUUGAAUUGUGGUCUUCUAAAAGGGAAAAAAGAGUUUGUAUAUUUAACCACAUUUUUAGACCUAAUAGCUGGCAAUUUCAAGCUAUCUACGUAUUAAUGGUUGGUUCUAGAUUGUUUAAUGAGUCUAAUAAAAGAAUUUAGCUGAAGAGAGGAACAAGUUAAAAGGUUUAAAAGUAGACCAAAAUGUCUUUUAUGAUACAUAGUUGUUCUUAUUCAAAUUUAGUAUUUAGUAAACUAUUAUUUUGUAACACGCACUUUAUUAGAAUGAUAUAUUAACCUUAUAAGUUUAGUUUAUGUUUGGUAUUAAUUGUUGUGUACGUCAAAGGUUUGGAUGUGGAUGCUUUUCACAUCUCCCACAUCAAGGUGAAAUUAGUACAUAAACGGAGAGUGAGAGUCGUGUAUACCGUGCUCAUGCAAGAAACAAUCAUGAGUAAAACAGACAAGGGUUGGUGGAGUAGAUGAUGGUUCUAACGGAUUUGAGUCAAAAUUGGUAAUUUGUUUGUUUUUAAAGUAACGGAAACCUUUGUCUUUUUUUUCUGUAAUUUCACUUUCUUUUCUUAUUGUUGUACGUCACUACUCGCUAGACAGGGCAGCAACACGGUGGGUUAUUACGGGUUGCGACAACAACUAAGUUUUGGGUACAAGAAUAGUGAGGAGGCUGUAAGCUGGCAACAAUGACUAUAUUCUAAUCUUUUAUUGCAGCUUUUUUUUGGAGAUGGAGUGUUUAGUCAUCAGUUUUCGAACUUCGAAAUCAUUCUGUAUUCAUGUUCGAUUUUAAAAUCAAACUCUGCCACCAUCAGCAUUCUCUGUUCAAAUUCCAAAUUAUCAAUUCAUCCCAGUCGAAUUCGAUUUCUCUAUUUUAAAGAAGGCUUCAAUGAAUCUUUAUUUUGUUGAAGGUCGCUGCUGGAGAGUUGUAACGAAAUCGAAGGCCUCUGAUUCAGAAUUUAGAAUGUUGUAGUGGUUCCAUGAACACAUCGCCAAUGUUGCCGGUUUACAUAACAAUUCAAAUAUAACCAUUAAGAUGAUUGGUGGAGGUGAAUGGAAAUUGAAGAUAUUAAUUGAGGUACAAUUCAAAUAUAACCAUUAAGAUGAUUGGUGGAGGUGAAUGGAAAUUGAAGAUAUUAAUUGAAGUACAUUUCGAAACAACAAGGUUUUUUUUAAUUUAUGUGUAGUGUAUGUUUUAUCUUUUAUUUAUUUGUCAUCUCAAAUUAUUAUUUGUUGUUUCUUAUAUGUAUAAUGUCGUCGAUUGGGUUGAUGUCAUGAAACAACGGAUCGUUCCAUGGGGCAAAAUGGCUGUUUUCAAGCUCUAAGAGCCAAAUGAAGCUUUUGUGUGCAGUAUAUCAAGAAAUUUGAUAUCUCGUAAAAUCGUUAUUACCAAUUUUAAUGUUUAGAAAACACUAUUAUCUUUUCUUUAGUAAUUGUGGUACUUUUUUUAUUUAACUAUUUCAACAUUUUCAAUUGU